UGGCUCAGAUGGUAAAGAAUCUGCCUGCAAUGCAGGAGAUCCAGGUUCAAACCCUGG
RNAcentral lists this transfer RNA (57 nucleotides) under Ovis aries (sheep). It matches the Rfam family "tRNA", at positions 8 to 63 of the family's 71-position model. From Rfam's summary of the family: Transfer RNA (tRNA) molecules are approximately 80 nucleotides in length. Lineage: Eukaryota; Metazoa; Chordata; Mammalia; Artiodactyla; Bovidae. The record is from Rfam by way of RNAcentral.